This 302-nucleotide unclassified non-coding RNA is filed under the name uncultured Coltriciella. RNAcentral describes it as "sequence contains ITS2". The record is from RNAcentral. Lineage: Eukaryota; Fungi; Basidiomycota; Agaricomycetes; Hymenochaetales; Hymenochaetaceae.
UAAUCUCAAUUCCCUCAGGCAUUUUUUAUGCCUGUUCAGGGGUUUUGGAUUUGGGGGGUCUUGUGCAGGUUCUCCUUAUAAUAGGGAAUCAGCUCCUCUUAAAAAUAUUAGCUGGAGGAUGAAGCAAAAAUGGCCUUAGCAUUGUUCCAUUAGCUUAUGGUGUAAUAAUUGUUUCAUCAUGGCCAAUCAUAUAUGGGUGAUCCAAUGCCAAUAGGGGGAAAUAAAAUAACCCCAGGGAGGCUUUUUUGGUAGCAUUUCUCUGCUUCUAAUUUGUCAGAUCUAUCUGACAAUUCAUGUAUUCU